AGUGAACGCUGGCGGUAGGCCUAACACAUGCAAGUCGAACGGCAGCACAGUAAGAGCUUGCUCUUACGGGUGGCGAGUGGCGGACGGGUGAGGAAUACAUCGGAAUCUACUUUUUCGUGGGGGAUAACGUAGGGAAACUUACGCUAAUACCGCAUACGACCUACGGGUGAAAGCAGGGGAUCUUCGGACCUUGCGCGAUUGAAUGAGCCGAUGUCGGAUUAGCUAGUUGGCGGGGUAAAGGCCCACCAAGGCGACGAUCUGUAGCUGGUCUGAGAGGAUGAUCAGCCACACUGGAACUGAGACACGGUCCAGACUCCUACGGGAGGCAGCAGUGGGGAAUAUUGGACAAAGGGCGCAAGCCUGAUCCAGCCAUACCGCGUGGGUGAAGAAGGCCUUCGGGUUGUAAAGCCCUUUUGUUGGGAAAGAAAAGCAGCAGGUUAAUACCCCGCUGUUCUGACGGUACCCAAAGAAUAAGCACCGGCUAACUUCGUG
Molecule: ribosomal RNA, 492 nt
Filed under: uncultured bacterium
Lineage: Bacteria
Description: partial 16S ribosomal RNA
Rfam family: Bacterial small subunit ribosomal RNA
Source: RNAcentral